RNAcentral lists this ribosomal RNA (286 nucleotides) under uncultured diatom. Its description in RNAcentral is "partial 18S ribosomal RNA". It matches the Rfam family "Eukaryotic small subunit ribosomal RNA", at positions 598 to 888 of the family's 1831-position model. The record is from RNAcentral. Lineage: Eukaryota; Bacillariophyta.
CGUAUAUUAAAGUUGUUGCAGUUAAAAAGCUCGUAGUUGGAUUUGUGGCGUAUGGUGUGUUCCGGGCACUUGUUGUCUGAGUAACCUGCUGUUGCCAUCCUUGGGUGGAACCUGUGUGGCAUUAGGUUGUCGUGCAGGGGAUGCCCAUCAUUCACUGUGAAAAAAUUAGAGUGUUCAAAGCAGGCUUAUGCCGUUGAAUAUAUUAGCAUGGAAUAAUGAGAUAGGACUUUUUUACUAUUUUGUUGGUUUGCGUAAAGAGGUAAUGAUUAAUAGGGACAGUUGGGGG